Molecule: ribosomal RNA, 528 nt
Filed under: uncultured bacterium
Lineage: Bacteria
Description: partial 16S ribosomal RNA
Rfam family: Bacterial small subunit ribosomal RNA
Source: RNAcentral
UGGGGGAAUUUUGGACAAUGGGCGAAAGCCUGAUCCAGCAAUGCCGCGUGUGUGAAGAAGGCCUUCGGGUUGUAAAGCACUUUUGUCCGGAAAGAAAUGGCUCUGGUUAAUACCUGGGGUCGAUGACGGUACCGGAAGAAUAAGGACCGGCUAACUACGUGCCAGCAGCCGCGGUAAUACGUAGGGUCCAAGCGUUAAUCGGAAUUACUGGGCGUAAAGCGUGCGCAGGCGGUUGUGCAAGACCGAUGUGAAAUCCCCGAGCUUAACUUGGGAAUUGCAUUGGUGACUGCACGGCUAGAGUGUGUCAGAGGGGGGUAGAAUUCCACGUGUAGCAGUGAAAUGCGUAGAGAUGUGGAGGAAUACCGAUGGCGAAGGCAGCCCCCCGGGAUAACACUGACGCUCAUGCACGAAAGCGUGGGGAGCAAACAGGAUUAGAUACCCUGGUAGUCCACGCCCCUAAACGAUGUCAACUAGCUGUUGGGGCCUUCGGGCCUUGGUAGCGCAGCUAACGCGUGAAGUUGACCGCCU